This 251-nucleotide ribosomal RNA is filed under the name uncultured bacterium. RNAcentral's name for it is "partial 16S ribosomal RNA". It matches the Rfam family "Bacterial small subunit ribosomal RNA", at positions 525 to 775 of the family's 1533-position model. The record is from RNAcentral.
ACAGAGGGUGCAAGCGUUAAUCGGAAUUACUGGGCGUAAAGAGUGUGUAGGCGGAUUUGUCAGUCAGAUGUGAAAUCUCAGGGCCUAACCCUGAACCUGCAUCUGAAACUACAAGUCUAGAAUUCUGGAGGGGGAAGGGGAAUUUCGCAUGUAGGGGUAAAAUCCGUAGAUAUGCGAAGGAACACCAGAGGCGUAGGCGCCUUCCUGGACAGAUAUUGACGCUGAGGCACGAAAGCGUGGGGAGCAAACAG